UCUCUGCAACUAUAAGUUCAAUGGAGAUCGAGUCUGCUUAUUGACUUCCUCUCCUACCUCUUCCAUUAUUUUCUCUCAAUCGACUCGUUUUCUUUACAAUGUCUCCAGAUCCAGAAGGUGGAGUAGAAGUCAAUACCCUCUAACAAAUAAUCGAUUUCAAUGUCUGUGAUUUCAAUUAUAAAAUCCUACUCGCGAUUACUUGGGGAUUUAGGGUUGCGGUUUACUUCAGCCGAUUCCUAUUGUGAUUCCUGGUGAUGAUAGUGUGGCCGCGGUGAUGAAGUAGAAGAUGUCUCAGUUUGCUAAUAAGAUUGCUCGUUAAAUUUAUUAUCUAUUUUGUGAGUUGAAUUGGAGACAAAGAAGUUAACAUACACAGGUAUAGAUUUUUUCUUUUACAAGCAUGUAAAUGAUGGUUCUGGAUUGAAAGCUCCACUUAUUGCUGAUGAUGUUUAUGAUAUAAUCAUGAAGAGAUUUUGAUUUUGACUAUUUUGGUUUCAAAACCCUUGAAAGAUCUUACCUGUUGAAGGUUCAAGGGAAGGUUGUAGAAAGAGCACAACAUAUGUUGAGGAGAGUUGCUGUUGGAAUCCACAAAGACAAUAUUGAGUCUGUUCUCAAAACAUACCAUCUUAUGUCACAGGGUUGGUUCACCCAUGCUUCUUCUACUCUUUUCAAUGCAGGGACACCAAGGCCUCAAGUAACGAAGCCUCGCGAGUUCCACUUUGCAAUUGAUGAAUGGAUUCCUCCAGCAAGAACAGUUUUUGAGUUGUUUGACAAGGUACAAACAACAUAAUCACGUUUCUCUUAUAACUUUCAUUAAACUCAGAACGCCGUCACAAUGAGCAGCUAUAUUUUGGGGAUACAUGAGUUGGUCUCUUUAUUUUGUAAGGUGAAGCUAUGUAAAAGAAUUUGAUGUCCAAUAAUGAACUUAGUGUCCAAGUUUUCAUAAUUUGAACUAAUAAUUUUGGUCCAGAUUGUAAAUUGAAUUUGAGCUCCACUUGAGAUAAUCAUUUGUGU
This is a long non-coding RNA of Papaver somniferum (opium poppy), 1011 nucleotides long. RefSeq lists it as uncharacterized. NCBI's taxonomy places the organism in Eukaryota, Viridiplantae, Streptophyta, Magnoliopsida, Ranunculales, Papaveraceae. The transcript is spliced from 5 exons. The record is from RefSeq and is a predicted model, not a curated record.